UUACUAUGUCGCGCAUUUUCGUUGGUAACUUAUCUCGUAAUGUACGAAGAAGUGAUUUAGAAAAACAUUUUUCUGAGUUCGGUAGCAUACAAAAAAUCGAUUUAAAGUCUGGAUACGCUUUUAUUGAUUACAAGGAACAGAGAGAUGCAGACGACGCCAUUCGUGAAUUAAAUUAUACAAAGUUUGACGGUCAAAGGAUUGUCGUUGAACUUUCACGCAGCUCAGGCCACCGCCGAGAAAGAUCUACUGGUGACCGUUGUUUUGUUUGUAACGAGAGUGAUCAUUGGGCUAGAGACUGCCCUUACACCGUCGGGAGCGGGGAUUGCCGUAGUGGGAAUUGCUUUAAAUGUGGGGAACCCGGACACUUAGCUCGAAACUGUGGCGAAAGCGUCAGAGGCCGUGACAGCUACCGACGAGGUUAUAGAGGGAGAUCAAGAAGAGAGGGUUGGACAGUAGGAGGAUUGUAAAUUUACUGGAAUAUUCUUUAUUCAGGACGGAUUAGGCAGAUUUUAAUUAAUCUUCUUGGAAAAUGUUUGGAUUAAUAUAAAGGAUAUAAUAUAUAAUAAGUUUAUGUGAGAACGGAAUGAAAAAUUAGUGGAAUUGGAUGGGACCAGUCUUUUGUCGAACUCGAAGCUUCACGCGCAGUAACAGCCGAAGUGUUAGUCGCCGACGAAGCCGAUCUCGCAGUCCUUCGCGGAGUCGAAGCCGGUCUCGAAGCUCAUUUCGUGCGCGUUCGCCUCGUUAUAGCCGCAGAAGUCGCACGCGCAGUCGCAGCCGCUCGCCGCGUUAUAGCAGAGGCAGUCGCUACAGCAGCAGUCGCUAUCGCGAUCGCGAUCGCAAGCAUUCCGUUAGCCGAUCACGUUCACGUUCACGUUCAUGCUCACGUUCUUGAACUAUUUGCUAGAGAAAUUUAAGCGCACUUCGUUUUUAUUAUUUAAUA
Molecule: RNA transcript, 940 nt
Organism: Zophobas morio
Lineage: Eukaryota; Metazoa; Arthropoda; Insecta; Coleoptera; Tenebrionidae
Exons: 7
Source: RefSeq, a predicted model, not a curated record